GCUUGGUAGUGCUGGAGCCAAGCUCUAGGGGUCUGCCAGUAGCAAAUGUUAUUGUAACUGUGUCAGACAGAGAAAAGGGAAAGAAAGUCUCAUACUUGGAAGUUAUCUUUCCUUGCAUGCUCAGAAGCUUCUGUCUGCUGCCCUGACCAGAGUGAUGGGCUGCAAAAUGUGACUGUUCUUCAUUUACUGCUGACAGGUAAUCUGGUGCUUCAGAAUGAGAGCAAAGGAGAGCAGCUGUAUCAAGUUGGGUAGCUGUGUAGGAAGUAGAGGGUCAUCUUGAUACGCAGAGGCGAAAAGUUGGCAGUUUGGAAGUAGGUUUCACAACUCUUCUGAAGGAGAAGAUGAGAUAGGUUCCUCUUCACUUUUCCAUCUCAGCUUGGUCUGUAUUACAUGGUUGACACAGCUCUUGAUACUGCAGCUUGUGUGGCACAGCAUGUGCUUAUGCAACAGGCCAUCCCAUGCUGUGCUGUAGGUAUGAAGAAAAGUUUAGUUGUAUGGAGAAAAUGCUUCUCACUUUGAAGAUCUCAUUUGAAAAGCUGAUAAAGAAAUGCCCUGAAAUUAAAGAUAUUCUCAGGUUCAGAGAACAAAGGGGGGAAGCACACAGACCCGAGAAAGAAAGCUCCUCUUGUGCGUGAGAGAGUAAAGGACACUUUGACUCACUUGAGAUCCCUCGAAAUGCUAAAAAAAGAAAGGGAAGAAAAAAGUACAAGAAAAGACACUCAUGGAACUGCUGAGGUGUGUGUGUGAGUUUCCAUUAAGACAGUCUUCAAGUAGGGGUCGCACUCACUUUGGACUUCUCACCUCAGUCAAGAUGAAAGAGAAAUGCUGGCUCUGCAACCUCAUGAAUGAAGGAAAAAAAUGAAAUCACCUUGCUCCCCUUCUGCAAAGCAGUCAUUAACCUCGCUAACAAGGAAGGAGGUGCUUUUUUUAAGCCCCAUGCCUGAGGGAUUAUACAUGCAAUUACUCUUAAUGUCAGCAUUGAUGUUUCUGAUUUUCUUUGCAAGCCAGUGCAGACUGGGCUCAGUUAGAUGAGCUAAGUAAUCCCAGUGGUAUCCUGGCCCCAACUGGAGCAUCUACCAAAUGGUGGGUCCAGCAUAUACUGUAAUGUCGGUGCAGACUGAAUUCCUGUAAUGACCCAUACCUGAUGGUAAUGUGCCUGAAAAAUGGCUAAGAUGACUGCUGUCAGAGGCGUAUGGGGCUUUCUCCUGACUUGCAGUACAUGCUCUUCAGGGUCUUUGGGUGCCAGUGGCAGAGGUGUACAUGAAAAGCAGGAAGUUUGUUUGAUCACAGCUGCAGAGCUCUCUUGCUUUCACUGU
Long non-coding RNA from Neopsephotus bourkii (Bourke's parrot), 1316 nucleotides. RefSeq lists it as uncharacterized. NCBI's taxonomy places the organism in Eukaryota, Metazoa, Chordata, Aves, Psittaciformes, Psittacidae. The transcript is spliced from 6 exons. The record is from RefSeq and is a predicted model, not a curated record.